GCCCUUAUAGCUCAAUAGGAGGAGCUACUCCCUCUUAAGGAGUAGGUUCAAGGUUCGAGUCCUUGUGGGGGCAC
Molecule: transfer RNA, 74 nt
Filed under: uncultured phage cr111_1
Lineage: Duplodnaviria; Heunggongvirae; Uroviricota; Caudoviricetes; Crassvirales; Steigviridae
Description: crAssphage cr111_1 tRNA-Lys
Rfam family: tRNA
About the family: Transfer RNA (tRNA) molecules are approximately 80 nucleotides in length.
Source: RNAcentral